UACGAAGGGGGCUAGCGUUGCUCGGAUUUACUGGGCGUAAAGGGCGCGUAGGCGGACAGUUAAGUUUGGGGUGAAAGCCCGGGGCUCAACCUCGGAAUUGCCUUCAAUACUGGCUGUCUUGAGUGUGAGAGAGGUGUGUGGAACUCCGAGUGUAGAGGUGAAAUUCGUAGAUAUUCGGAAGAACACCAGUGGCGAAGGCGACACACUGGCUCACUACUGACGCUGAGGCGCGAAAGCGUGGGGAGCAAACAGG
Molecule: ribosomal RNA, 253 nt
Filed under: uncultured bacterium
Lineage: Bacteria
Description: partial 16S ribosomal RNA
Rfam family: Bacterial small subunit ribosomal RNA
Source: RNAcentral